AAGAGAUAUGUCCUUCUGUUUUCCAUCACUAAGUUUAACUAGCUAAUAUUAAUUAAAUUAUUUCCAUCAUUUUCUGCACUUCUUGCACUUGGAAUAGGCCCUUGACUAAUUCUUACCUUCACAUUCAUCAUCUUUGAAGGAUCAUGCUUUCCUGAGAAAGAAGAUGCAUUUCUUUGCUGCAGUUUGAGUGUUACCCUCCCUUCUCUCCUGUUUUUCAGUGAAGACUACUUAUCACUGAUAUUAUAGCUUGAGACAUAGAAAGAUAUUUUUGCUGUUUCUGUUCAAAUGAGACAACUGGAUCUUCCACAGGGAGGUGGGGAGACAGACCCCUCUCUUGAUAACAACCUGUUCAUGUGUCCUGAACAAGACUCUGACAUCACCAUACCUGCAAAUGUGUCCUGCAGUUCAGUGAACACAGACAUGGGUGAGAAUUUCAGUAAGUCCUGCUGGCAGCAAGUUAAAUGAACCAAGCAAAACCUACCAGCCCUGCAGAUAGGAAGAUCUACUUUCUCCUGUAAUGAAAGUACCACUAAUAUCUCCACUAAGCAGAAUGUGAUUUUCUACUAGUAAUCUGAUGGUCCAUUCCAGGAGAACAUUUUAUGACUGUAUAUUUUAAAUCUUGAUCAGUGGGAAAGCCCAAGUCUUGGCACAAAUAUAAACAGUGACAAUAAAUUAGACACAAGCAGGGUGCAACUUCUCCAGAUCCCAAGCUCAAAUUUACAAGCUGUUUGCUGAGGCUUUGUGACUAAUGGCAGCAUAAAAUAUUUUAGUCAACUGGCAAAGUGAGAACUCAGAAUGAUUGAGAAGUUCUUAACUGGCUGCUCUGAUUAACAGUGGGUAAAUUACUAUCAAUGCUGGUAAUAAAUGCCAUUAGCAGUAAUUCACUGAAAACCCGUCCAUAAGCUCCAAUCAUGUCAAAGUUCAGCUAAAAACAACUGACCAGUCUUGGCAAGUUCCAAGCUUUGUUUACUUCCCCAUGACUGCUUGAAGAUGUUGCAGGAUGCAGUGGGCUGUGCACACUUGUGCCUUGAAAAGGAUUGGAAUGGCUUUCUUAUCCACUAUGACUCUUUCCUUUAGCUGGGAUGACAACUGAAACAUGUUGAUGCUUGAAAGCAAGCAAUGCUCCUCUGCUGCCUCCAGUAAGGUCAGAGUGGCAGGACCUGGAGACCCAACACUACAGCAAAAUUCAGUGCUCUGCUGUGAACUUCAGGAGAAAACCAACAUGAAGUCUGGCAGAAUUUUGGAUCUCCAAAGGAGUUACCCUCUCCUGCUCCCUGCCUGCCCUCCCUCCUCCCUGCCUUCUGCCACGGAACACCUUCUUUAUUUGCCCCAGAGUAACAAUAUACAAUUUUGUCAAUCUCUACCAACUCCACACAGCAAACUGGCACUGAACAGAUUCAUCCUAUGGCUCCUGACUAACAUGUCCUUAUGUGAAGCACAAAGGCAAUGGUAUUAUGUAUUAUUGCAAUGAGGAGAGUCAUUAUUCCCAUAAGUUACAGUGAGGGAGUAUGCAGUAAAUUUGCCCCUUUAUAAUAUUUAUAAAUAUUAUAUUUAACAAUCUAUAGUGACAUAAGCUAUUACAGAGGUCACUACACAGCUUCUUUACUGGGACCUCGAGUAUUUGCUUCAAAUAAUUCUAUCAUACUCUCUCACAGCAACAUGACUAAAAGCUAUUGCCUUUUCACAUGCAUACAAAUUUGUGAUGAAUUUCAUAAAAUUGUGUUGCUUCAGCUCAGUAUGUCUGGUACUGAACUUGAAUUACAAAAUGCAAGCCUCUCUGCUUUCCUAGUCUUGGGCAUUUCUAGCACAUAUUUUGCCAUAUGAUUUGAUAUUGUUCUGAUUUUUGGUGUUUUGAGAUGCAUGUGGGCCAGAUACAUUGUACUUGACUCACUGAGUAAUCCAAAAUCACUGAGAAGGGAACAUAGCACAAGGCACACAAAGGUUAUGUGACCUUUUCCUCAGGGAACAAAGCUGUGGCCAAGACGAGGAUUUGUCCAAAUGCAGCUUCCCCACAAGAAAUGAGGUGAUCAUUUGCUUAAUCAACCUAAUGAGCCACUGGCUGUUCAUAGCCACACACAGAUAGACAUUCCUGCUGCCGUGGCUUUAGUGAAGCAGCACAUGAAACACCAGGCAUUUGAGCUGAAUUUGAUGCCCUUCCAUUUCUGGAACUGGCAGAAUAUUGGUCUUUCAGAAUAUUCAAAUAUUGAAUAGCAAUGAGCUGUCAGCUAAAGCUUCAGGAUAACAGUAACAAGAAGUCAGCCUGGACAAGGAAGAUUUGUUUCACAGACAUGAGAUGGAAGGAUACUGUCAGCACCCCACAUAAAUGGUGAAACAAGAGCAGGGGGAAUACUUAAAGAAGCACAUGCAACAUUGGAAAAAUAACAUAGUAAUUAUUUUAACCUAUUAGGUGUUCAUUCCAACAAAAGUAAAUUGGAUUUUUAUUCCCAUACUGGUAGUAAUGUAUUCAUCCAUGUUCAUUGUAUUUCCUAUUUUCAUUAGAGAGGAACCAGUGUGCAUUCAAGUAAUUACAAAAAAACUUCAGGCUCCUAAAAUAUGCUUAUCUCUCAAGAAGCUGCUGUUAAAUGGCUUAAUCUAAGUAUGCUAUACAUAAGAGAAAUGCAAUACAUUCUUAAUUUUAUAGUUUGCCAUGUGAAACAUUUUAAUAAGACAUUUUCAUUAAAUUUUACUGUUUCUGCUAUCUAGAAUAAGUGUUCAGAUAUGAGACAUCUGAUCUGCUCCUCAGAGCUUAGUGACAAAAAAAUAUUUAGGAGGUUUUUUUAAAGGUUUUUAAAGGAUAUUUUUAAAAGAUAUCUGAUGCUCCAGUUUCCUCCUCUCCCAAAAUCUCAUUCUUUAGAGGAACAUCCAUAUCUCUCUCAUAUUUACACAUCCUUUUCCCUGUCUCAUUUAUCAGCCCUCAAACCUUUAAUGAACUUUCCUCCUCCACAUAGCAAGCUGCCUCACAUUGGCUCACAUCUUUUCAGCCACAAAGGCUUUUUGUGUGAGUAGUCAAAUUUCUUAGUCCCUGCUCCCAAACAAUUUGGAAAGCACAUUUGGAUUCACUGGGGCCCAGUCAUGGUGUCAGAUGAUUUCAUGAAAAAGAGCUGCACUUUCAUGGUGUGUAAGUCUGCCUCAGUGUUUACACAAGUUACUACUGUAUUUCAAUGAUCAGUUGUAGCUAAGAAAUGGCAGCAAACCAUUUGCUGCCGAUGCAGAUCAGCUGGCUCAUUUGUUGGUUGUAAAAGAUCCAGAGUGGUUGUGUGUGUUUGCUGGUUUGAUUAUGGGGAGGGGGUUAUGUUGUUUAAAAUACCCUUUUGUUUACUUAAAAGCUAUGGUGAAGCAUAAAAGAAAUAAUAGCUAAGAACUUCUAGUUCUGCAGAGAAAUAAGCUGUUGCAACAGAGGUUUUGCUGGAAUAAGACUUUCCCAUAAGGGUUGCUUCUAGGUUUCUGACAUCCUCCAUGCAAAUGUGAAGUGAAAUUGUCAUACAGUGUCAGUGCAGUAGUCACAGAACUGCAUGGCCAAAUGAAGAUCUCAUGGCCCAAUCAGUGUUUUGUCAUGGGAAGUCAUUAGGUAGACAUGGGGAGAGAGGUUAGAGAAGGCUGGAGCCUUGCCUGCUUCUGCUGUAGAGAGCUGUAAGCCCAAGAGCAACAUUAAUUUGGGUUGCUUCAGUUGUCAUUUAGAACCUCUUUUAUAGGCUGUCUCUCUUCUACAAGACAUUAAAUAAGAGUUUGUGUUUAGAGCAGUAGGUGGAUUUACUUUGGAUUCCUUCAAUAUAUAGGGUACAAAAAUAUGUUGUGGCUAUAAGGUAGAUUUCUGGGGCAUUUCUAAAAAUUAGAACCAGGUCUGCUUCCAAGAGGGUAUUAUGUUUGAACUUAAAAGGUUUUCUUAAUCCCUCUGUAAAUGCAGUUUAAUGGAAGAAAAAGAGAGAAGAGCUGAAUGGAAUGCAUAAAGUUUAUGGUGCCUGCUUACAUCUAAUGCCAUUUGGGAGAAUGCUAAUAUGGUUAUUAGAAUAAGUUCCUAUACUGGGUCAGUAAAAUUUUCAAAUGCUUCAUUUAAGUUUCUCAUUUUUCUGGGAUUUUUCUCGAGGAAAAAAAAUGGAAGAGGAAGAGGACAUUUGAUAGCAUGACUCUUGGAUGUAAGAAUAUUUAAGUUUCAGCCUCUUCAAUUUUAUGGUCUUCUCAGUAAUUAUAAUCCAUGAAAUGUGAAGGACCAGACUUGAGGUGUCAUUGUUUAAAAUAAAAGGAAAAAUAGAUUUAUUUUACUUAUGCAUUCCUAUGCUACUCUGUUCUGCUAAUGUAUGAGAGCAAAGUUAAUUGCAUAGGCUGGGAAAUGGAUUGCUUGGACCGACUGAAGUUAAAAUUAGAACUUUAACUCUUCAUUGCCCUGUGUAUUUCAUGUUUAGUUACUCUUAAACCAAGUGGGUGUAAAAUGUCACUGCUGCCAUCAUGUAUACUGAUUAGGCACACAAAAUACAAAUUAUUUUGGGAUAGUUGCAAGGACCAAAGGAUGUUUUAUGCUCAGGUCCUAUUAACAUAUAUACGCAUGUUUGUUUUAUGUAUAUUACUUAAAAUAUUACCAUGCCCUCUUGUGUGAAAUGCUUUCAAGAAAUUAACUGAGCUGAGGAAGUAACAAGAACUCAGGUAUAGGUAUUUUUAAAAUCAAAAGAUAAAACUGUUGUAAGUAAGGCAAUGUUCUGCAAAGCCUCACAUUUUCUCUCUUAAAACUAUCUACUUUGAAAAGAGGUUCCUGCUAGGUUGUUUGCCUAAAAAGCAAAGCUAAGAAAGAAAUUUGCAGAAGUAAAGUAAUCCUUUAACAUGCUUCUCUUGCUGUGCUUAAAAACGCAGGUAACAAUCUCACCCCUCAGAUAACGUCCAUAGUAAUGUAAAUACAAAAUCUACCCCAAAAAGAGAGCUGAAGCAUGAAUAUGUGAAUGCUCCUACUUAUCUCUCAUGUACAGCCAUCAUGGUCUUUUAUUUCAUGCUCAGCUAAUACAAAUCUGCAUAUCAAAGAAAGUAAUAAAACUUCAUAAACCACAGAAGUUGCUUUAUUUAAAAUUAACACAGUUGCUUUUUUUAUAUAGUUUCAAGUUAAUCUAUUAAAACCACAUAGAAUGACCUCUUACAAAGAGAGCAAUUACUUGAAAGAGUAACUUACCAUGACAAUGCACGGCUGUACACACUUUGGAGAAGUGUCACUUUUUGAGGCAGAAAGAAUGUAUCAUAUCAAAACAGCUAUUAUCAAAUAAUCUGCAAUGGACCUCUUAACAUGGAAAAAGAGAGAGAAAACUUCCCACUUGCUUUUUCACAGCAUCUGGUUUGCAGGGUUUGGAUGCAGUCUGGCCUCCCAUCCCCUAGUGUGAAUAUUCUUUUCUUUUGUAAAACCUGCCCAGACCAUCUACAGCCUUUGGCAAUCUGGUCAGAAAAAAUUAUAUUCAGACAAAAAAAGGUGCCAUAUUUGCAUCACGUGGAUCCUUUUUUUCAAAAUCUAAGCCUUUAACCUCUUCAUGUAAUACCUUAGGAGGCAGAGUGAUAUGGAAGGAAAUAAAUAAGCAACUCCACUUGACACUGAAGUCCAACUCUCACGCUCCUUGAUUCCUCAUCCUGUUUUUCACAUGUUCAGUGUAGUAAUCUGCAAGCCUCCUAAGUGGGAGUGAAAUACUACUAAAUUAAAUUUCCCUCUUCAUUUUCCCUGCUUGCUGUUUCCAUAUCUCCUUUACAAAUGUAGAAUUCACUGCACAGGAGAUACUUCAUACCAACAUGUCAGUGGUGAUUUCUGAGCUGCUAGGCCUUUCCUGAGUUUCUAUAUUUGCCUGCUGGACCUUGUUCUGUUGCCCCCCUCCAGAAAAGGAAGCUCUCAGUGAAGCUGGUUGUCUGUUCCUGUUUACUUCACAUUGCUUCAGAGGUUUUGCAUUUUUCUCACUGUUGAAAGGGGUAUAACUCUUUCAAAGGCCAUGUGGGACGGACUUGGUGGCUUCUCUGAGUUUUGUUUGAAGAACUAAGACCCAUAAGCAUUAUGGUACUUGAUUAACUGUCUAGCACAUUUUCCACUCUGUGUUUCUGUACGUACACUCUGCUCUCUGGAUGGUAGUCAUAGGGGGCAUUGGUGCUCUGAAUGAGGAAGAACUGCUGUUCAGGGAGGUUUUAAACACUCAUCUGGAAGCCGCUGAUGGCCAACUCCUUACUCAGAUGACAAACAAGGAAAAUAGGAAUUCUUCCAGGACAACAGCAAAUGAGGGUUAUCACUAACAUGUUCAGAGCCAUCCUAAGGGCCAUCCACCAGGACUGAGGUCUUGGGCUGCCCUGAUUCCAAAACAACACUCAGAAGAUCUUUAGCUGCUACAGGAUUUCUGUGUGGGAUCACAGCUGACAGAUGUGAGGCACAAAGGAAGGAACAGCAAAUAUGCAGCAAGCCCAGACACAGUCCAUAUAUGUGCAUUGUGCCAAGAGCCUCCCUGUGACACCCCUGCCACUGCUCGAAGGAGACCUGCACGCCCUGAUAUGUCAUGCUGUCCAAUCAAAUGUGGAUGUACAAGCAUUUUUUUGCUAAAGGAAGAAAAUAAUGGAAACAUACCUUACUUGUCUUGAAUUCCUAUUUCAGUCCAUGCAUAUGUGUAUAGCAAUAAAUAAACAAAAUCUGAGAAGCUUUGCAUGUAAUAUCCCA
Molecule: long non-coding RNA, 6658 nt
Organism: Passer domesticus (house sparrow)
Lineage: Eukaryota; Metazoa; Chordata; Aves; Passeriformes; Passeridae
Exons: 2
Source: RefSeq, a predicted model, not a curated record